CAAUAGCGUAUAUUUAAGUUGUUGCAGUUAAAAAGCUCGUAGUUGGAUUUCGGGUGGGACGCAGCGGUCUCGCAUUGCGUUUGUACUGCUGCAGCCCUCCUUCUUGCCGGGGGCGGCCUCUCGGACUUCACUGUCUGGGGGUCAGAAUCGGCGAUGUUACUUUGAGUAAAUUAGAGUGUUCAAAGCGAGCUUACGCUCUGAAUAUAAUAGCAUGGGAUAACACGACAGGACUCUGGCCUAUCGUGUUGGUCUAUAGGACCAGAGUAAUGAUUAAGAGGGACAGUCGGGGGCAUUCGUAUUCCGUUGUCAGAGGUGAAAUUCUUGGAUUUACGGAAGACGAACAUCUGCGAAAGCAUUUGCCAAGGAUGUUUUCAUUGA
RNAcentral lists this ribosomal RNA (378 nucleotides) under uncultured eukaryote. RNAcentral's name for it is "partial 18S ribosomal RNA". It matches the Rfam family "Eukaryotic small subunit ribosomal RNA", at positions 592 to 976 of the family's 1831-position model. The record is from RNAcentral.